Non-coding RNA from Podarcis muralis (Common wall lizard), 439 nucleotides. The record is from RefSeq and is a predicted model, not a curated record. Lineage: Eukaryota; Metazoa; Chordata; Lepidosauria; Squamata; Lacertidae.
CCUCUAAAGGUCAGUACUGCGCUCCUGUGAGGUCUGUGCAAAAGGCCUAGAUGGAUUCAGGAUAGCACCGGCCCCCUUGGCCUCAGGCAACAAAACGCCUUCGAGCCGGUCCCGAGGACAGCGGGAGAGCAAGAAGCGUGCAGGACACACGGGCCGCCCCGGCUACCGUUGCCUUGCGAAGACCUCCCCGUGCAGGGAAAGCCCUUCCCCUCCCGCCGGCGUCUUGCUUUGGGUCGGGAAAGCAAGAAGGAGCCUGGCGUAGCAGGAGCAGGGCGCGCGCCGCCCUCCUCAGACAAAGCAGCCGCUGAGGAAAGGAAGCCUGCUGAACAAGAGUAAAAAUAGACCCGGCAGUUACUCAGCGCCUGAGAACAUGAUGACAUGACUCAUGAGGGGGCACGGGGAUGUCAGAAAAAGAAGAAGAAGAAGAGUUUGGAUUUGA